UAGGACACUCUAUACGGAGUUACAAAGGACGACAUUAGACGAAUCAUCUGGAAAGAUGAAUCAAAGAAGGUAAUAAUCCUGUAGUCGAAAAUGUUGUCUCUCUUGAGUGGAUCCUGAGUACGACGGAACACGUGAAAUUCCGUCGGAAUCUGGGAGGACCAUCUCCUAAGGCUAAAUACUCUCUAGUGACCGAUAGUGAACCAGUACCGUGAGGGAAAGG
RNAcentral lists this ribosomal RNA (220 nucleotides) under Staphylococcus aureus. Its description in RNAcentral is "partial 23S ribosomal RNA". It matches the Rfam family "Bacterial large subunit ribosomal RNA", at positions 296 to 514 of the family's 2925-position model. The record is from RNAcentral. Lineage: Bacteria; Bacillati; Bacillota; Bacilli; Caryophanales; Staphylococcaceae.